AAUGAACGCUGGCGGCAUGCCUUACACAUGCAAGUCGAACGGCAGCAUGACCUAGCUUGCUAGGUUGAUGGCGAGUGGCGAACGGGUGAGUAAUGCAUCGGAACGUGCCUUUUAGUGGGGGAUAACGUAGCGAAAGUUACGCUAAUACCGCAUAUUCUCUGAGGAGGAAAGCAGGGGACCUUCGGGCCUUGCGCUAGAAGAGCGGCCGAUGUCGGAUUAGCUAGUUGGUGAGGUAAAGGCUCACCAAGGCAACGAUCCGUAGCGGGUCUGAGAGGAUGAUCCGCCACACUGGGACUGAGACACGGCCCAGACUCCUACGGGAGGCAGCAGUGGGGAAUUUUGGACAAUGGGCGCAAGCCUGAUCCAGCCAUGCCGCGUGAGUGAAGAAGGCCUUCGGGUUGUAAAGCCCUUUCGGCUGGGAAGAAAUCGCACCCUCUAAUACAGGGUGUGGAUGACGGUACCAGCAUAAGAAGCACCGGCUAACUACGUG
Molecule: ribosomal RNA, 490 nt
Filed under: uncultured bacterium
Lineage: Bacteria
Description: partial 16S ribosomal RNA
Rfam family: Bacterial small subunit ribosomal RNA
Source: RNAcentral